Long non-coding RNA from Eutrema salsugineum, 1211 nucleotides. RefSeq lists it as uncharacterized. The record is from RefSeq and is a predicted model, not a curated record. NCBI's taxonomy places the organism in Eukaryota, Viridiplantae, Streptophyta, Magnoliopsida, Brassicales, Brassicaceae. The transcript has 2 exons.
UUGGUCCAUUCUUCGUCGAAGGAAAACAGAAGGGUCGAUGAGAGGGAGAUGAAAAAGGUCGACGAUUUGGAGAGUCAAUAAUUGAACGGUGUCGGAGCAGCUAAUCGAUCGGUGAUGGAGGAGAAAAUCGAUGGAGCAGCAUGGCCGAUGGAGGAGCAAAUCGAUCAGUGAUGGAUCACUAAAUCGUCAGAGCAUUAAUCGAAGGUAACGAGUUUUAAGGUUUUUUGUGAAUUUUUGAGUUUAAAUUGCGAAUUGGAGAUGAAUCCAGUAUCUGCAUAAGGUUUAAAUCUGAAAUUUCCGAGUUUCUUUUUGUGAAUUUUGCAUUCUCGGUGCUUUAGGGUUUAUAUUCAAAAAUUGGACCCUCGAGUAUCCGCAUAGUGUUUUUUUUUAAUUGGCUUUAUCUGGUUAACAAUUUUGGUUGUCUGAGUUCCUCUGUAGUUAAAAAUGCCUCGCACUUGCUUGAAUUUGGUCAGUUUUGAGUUUAUUUCUCAACUUCAUUAUCUGUGAUAUAUCAGUGUGAAUUUUUCUUGUACCUGAUUACUCAGUGGGUUCAUGUAGAAUCACCUAUGUUGUUUAAGAUGGAGCAUGUUGUUUGGUUUUUGUUCUUGUUUUGGAUAUCCUCUACGACCUCUUUCUGCUUAUACUUGUAAUCGGUUAAGUGUUUGUUCACUAGUUUGUUAGGUGAAAGAGUUAAAAGUCUUGUUGCUUAUACUCGUAAUCGGUUAACUAUCAGUUUGAUUGCCAAAAGACUUGUUUGUGAUAAAUGCUUGUUAGUAGUUUGUUAGGUGAAAGAGUUAAAGGUCUUGUUGUGAUAAAUGCUUGUUAUUAGUCUUAUUUAGAUUAUUUUAACUUGACUUUGUUUUUGUGAGGUUAAAUGGAGGACCACUUUACAGCUGCUCUUCAAGUCCCCACCGAAUCCUUUUCAGCUCAAUCGCAAGGAUUCUGUAAAAGGACAACUUGGAGAAGAAGUGGCUGCCAAUACAGAUCACGGGUCAAGUAAAAAGAGGAAGUGCCAAAUAUUGAUGAUCACGGGUCAAGUAAAAAGAGGACAAGAUCAAGUAUGGGUCCAUAUUGCUUUUGUUUUGUAGUAUGGCAACCCACAUAUUUGUGAAGUUAAUGUAAACCACACAUGUGUAACAUAACUGAACCACGUAUUAUUUUGUAAAAACUUUCUAUUCUUAUAUAAAUGUAAACCAAUCGAUUUCUAAUUC